AACGAACGCUGGCGGCAUGCCUAACACAUGCAAGUCGAACGAGACCUUCGGGUCUAGUGGCGCACGGGUGCGUAACGCGUGGGAACCUGCCCUUAGGUUCGGAAUAACUCCCCGAAAGGGGUGCUAAUACCGGAUAAUGUCUUCGGACCAAAGAUUUAUCGCCUUUGGAUGGGCCCGCGUUGGAUUAGCUAGUUGGUAGGGUAAAAGCCUACCAAGGCGACGAUCCAUAGCUGGUCUGAGAGGAUGAUCAGCCACACUGGGACUGAGACACGGCCCAGACUCCUACGGGAGGAAGCAGUGGGGAAUAAUGGACAAUGGGCGAAAGCCUGAUCCAGCAAUGCCGCGUGAGUGAUGAAGGCCUUAGGGUUGUAAAGCUCUUUUAACCGGGAUGAUAAUGACAGUACCGGGAGAAUAAGCUCCGGCUAACUCCGUG
RNAcentral lists this ribosomal RNA (433 nucleotides) under uncultured bacterium. RNAcentral describes it as "partial 16S ribosomal RNA". It matches the Rfam family "Bacterial small subunit ribosomal RNA", at positions 29 to 507 of the family's 1533-position model. The record is from RNAcentral.